GGCGCCGCGCGCCCCAGAGAGCCUCGGAGCGGGGUGGCGCGAGCGGCGGCGGCGCGCGGGCCCCGGGCGACUCUGCGGCCGCCAUGUGGGGCUGCGGCGGGCGGAGGCGGCGCCGCCUGGGAGCGUUACUGCUCCUGCUGCUGCUGCUCGGGGGGCUGCUACUCCGCCGGUAUUACCCAGGCUUGCUGUUUGUUCCAGAGGCCUGUGAGAAUGCUGUGCUACAGAGGUUUAACUGGAGCAGUCUGGUCCCCCUGCAGCUGUGGGGCAGAACACUGGGCCUGCAGGCGGAGGAUUCUGAGUUCCGCCUUGAAGGCAUGCGCUUCCGCAUCUUCGGGGGCUCCAUGCACUAUUUCCGAGUCCCCAAGGAAUACUGGAGAGAUCGCAUGGUUAAGAUGAAGACAUGUGGCUUGAACACCCUCACCACGUACGUGCCGUGGAACCUUCACGAAGCAGCGAGUGGGAAGUUUGAUUUCACCGGAAACCUGGAUCUAGAGGCCUUCCUUACCUUGGCAGCUGAAGUUGGAUUGUGGGUGAUUCUGCGUCCGGGACCCUAUAUCUGCUCUGAAUGGGAACUUGGUGGUCUUCCCAGCUGGCUGCUCCAAGAUCCUGACAUGCAACUGAGAACAACCUACAAGGGCUUCACGGAGGCUGUGGAUGCCUAUUUUGAUCACUUGAUGGCCAGAGUGGUCCCUCUUCAGUACAAGAAAGGGGGCCCCAUCAUUGCGGUGCAGGUGGAGAAUGAAUAUGGUUCCUACGCCAAAGACCCUCAGUACCUGACCUACAUUAAAAUGGCCCUGUUAGACAGAGGGAUUGUGGAACUGUUAAUGACUUCUGACAACAAGGAUGGACUCGCCUCUGGCUCUGUAGAAGGAGCUUUGGCUACUGUUAACUUUCAGAAGGUGGAUUCCAGCUUCCUGGUCUAUCUCGACACAGUACAGCAAAAUAAGCCGAAGAUGGUGAUGGAGUAUUGGACUGGAUGGUUUGAUAGCUGGGGCGGCCCUCAUAAUGUCUUUGACGCAGAUGAUAUGGUGAAUUCUGUAGCAGAAGUCCUUAAAACAGGAGCAUCUAUCAACCUCUACAUGUUCCAUGGGGGCACCAACUUUGGCUUCAUGAAUGGUGCUCUGGAUUUUGAUGAGUACAAGCCAGAUGUCACAAGUUAUGACUACGACGCCGUGCUAACAGAGGCUGGAGACUACACGUCCAAGUUCUUCAGACUCCGUCAGCUCUUCACCAAGAUCAUAGGGCAGCCUCUGCCCCUCCCUCCUAUGAUCACAGGCAAAGCAUCAUAUGGCACAGUCCUGCUGCCGCAGUAUGUCUCUCUGUGGGAGGUGCUGCCAUCUAUUGUAGAGCCCGUUAAGUCAGAGUUCCCGGUUAACAUGGAGAACCUGCCAGUGAAUGAUGGCAACGGGCAGGCCUAUGGGUAUACGCUCUACGAGACGGUCAUAUCCGGCGGAGGACAGCUGCAUUCCAGGGACAACGUCCGGGACCGAGCACAGGUGUUUGUUAACACUGUGUUCGUUGGAUUCCUUGAUUACAACACGGUGGAGCUGUCAAUUCCUGAAGGACAGGGCUUCAGGCAGCUCAGGCUUUUGGUAGAGAACUGCGGGCGUGUCAAUUACGGACUUAUGCUGAAUGAGCAGCGGAAAGGCUUAAUUGGUGACGUCUUCCUGAAUAAAACCCCCUUGAGGAACUUCAAGAUUUACAGUCUGGAGAUGAAACCUGGCUUCAUGGAAAGCUUGCGAGGUGUUACUGCUUGGAGCACGAUCCCGGAUUACGCCGUGGGUCCUGCAUUCUUCCGAGGAAACCUGCAAGUGCAGUAUCUGCCUCAGGACACUUUCCUGAAACUCGAGGGUUGGGAAAAAGGAGUUGUGUUUGUCAAUGGAGAGAACCUAGGACGCUACUGGAAAAUCGGACCCCAGGAAACGCUCUACCUCCCUGCAACUUGGCUGCAGCCUGGGAACAAUGAGAUUAUCGUUUUUGAAGAGCGCACCGCAGGCCGGAUCAUACAAUCUGUAGAUAUGCCUUAUCUAGGAAGGACCCACUAUAUGGACUGAGCAGGAGAACUGCCUCCCGUUGGGUUCAUCUUGGAUAUUCCUUGGUGUAUGUGUGGGGACGCAUCAGUCCACGUACAGACUGGUUUGUUAAUUUCCGUUAGACCAGUGUAAAGGAUUUGCUCCCUGGCAACAAGUUUAGGAGAUAGACUUGGAGCACCCUGAGAGGUACAGGAGGGUGGUUUAAAUACCCUCAAACUCCCAUGCUGUAGCUGUCAGUGUAGAAUUGGCUGUGUCCAAGAGCUGCUCAUCUCUCCUGCAACCAACAUGUCCUCUGACCUAGAGAAGUCAGGUCAGUACUUAGGGGAGCAGUAAGACCUCACUACCAUAACCACCUGGCAAGGGCAAUAAAUCAAUUUCAAGGGAAUUUUAACCAUUAAAAAACAUAUUUAAUUUUAUUUAACAAAUUAAAUACAGUUUAAUUAAAACUGAGAACAGACAGUGCAGCUGUAAUACACUCCAUCCUCCGUCCCAAUCAAUGCCUGUCUCGCCGCAGCAUCCGUACCUCAGCUCUCCUGGCAAUCGCCACCACACCAGCUGGAAAGGCCUGGCUCCUGCAGCUGACUUUGAGGAGAGUGGAGCAUAUUUGUAUUUGCAGGGUUGUCUGUAGGACUUAGUCCUUUGCAUUUCACGAGGAGUUGUUCCCUACAGCGAAUGGAAGGCUGCAAUCCAGCAGGGUUAUUAGAAUAAACAGACAGACAUGCAGCUAGGACAUCAGUUGAAAACAACUUGAAUAUCAUGAAAACUUCGUAUCCCUUUUGAAAACACCUCUUUGUUCAUAGAUUGAGGGCUGCACUUGGGAGACUUUUAUAUAAUAGUGGAAUAAACCUGCUUUGAUGCAGAGCACCAUUGUU
Molecule: RNA transcript, 2905 nt
Organism: Dermochelys coriacea (leatherback sea turtle)
Lineage: Eukaryota; Metazoa; Chordata; Testudines; Dermochelyidae
Gene: GLB1L2
Gene name: galactosidase beta 1 like 2
Exons: 21
Source: RefSeq, a predicted model, not a curated record